This 457-nucleotide ribosomal RNA is filed under the name Escherichia coli. RNAcentral's name for it is "bacterial SSU rRNA". It matches the Rfam family "Bacterial small subunit ribosomal RNA", at positions 1 to 454 of the family's 1533-position model. Lineage: Bacteria; Pseudomonadati; Pseudomonadota; Gammaproteobacteria; Enterobacterales; Enterobacteriaceae. The record is from RNAcentral. RNAcentral also lists the same sequence under 1 other name.
AAAUUGAAGAGUUUGAUCAUGGCUCAGAUUGAACGCUGGCGGCAGGCCUAACACAUGCAAGUCGAACGGUAACAGGAAGCAGCUUGCUGCUUCGCUGACGAGUGGCGGACGGGUGAGUAAUGUCUGGGAAACUGCCUGAUGGAGGGGGAUAACUACUGGAAACGGUAGCUAAUACCGCAUAAUGUCGCAAGACCAAAGAGGGGGACCUUCGGGCCUCUUGCCAUCGGAUGUGCCCAGAUGGGAUUAGCUUGUUGGUGGGGUAACGGCUCACCAAGGCGACGAUCCCUAGCUGGUCUGAGAGGAUGACCAGCCACACUGGAACUGAGACACGGUCCAGACUCCUACGGGAGGCAGCAGUGGGGAAUAUUGCACAAUGGGCGCAAGCCUGAUGCAGCCAUGCCGCGUGUAUGAAGAAGGCCUUCGGGUUGUAAAGUACUUUCAGCGGGGAGGAAGGGAG